This 24-nucleotide non-coding RNA is filed under the name Arabidopsis thaliana (thale cress). Lineage: Eukaryota; Viridiplantae; Streptophyta; Magnoliopsida; Brassicales; Brassicaceae. The record is from RNAcentral.
GAUGUGAGGCAGGAGCUAGCCACC